RNAcentral lists this ribosomal RNA (460 nucleotides) under uncultured bacterium. RNAcentral's name for it is "partial 16S ribosomal RNA". It matches the Rfam family "Bacterial small subunit ribosomal RNA", at positions 338 to 795 of the family's 1533-position model. The record is from RNAcentral.
CCUACGGGAGGCAGCAGUGAGGAAUAUUGGUCAAUGGACGAGAGUCUGAACCAGCCAAGUAGCGUGAAGGAUGACUGCCCUAUGGUUUGUAAACUUCUUUUAUAUGGGAAUAAAACGUUCCACGUGUGGGAUUUUGUAUGUACCAUAUGAAUAAGGAUCGGCUAACUCCGUUCCAGCAGCCGCGGUAAUACGGAGGAUCCGAGCUUUAUCCGGAUUUAUUUGGUUUAAAGGGAGCCUAGGUGGAUUGUUAAGUCAGUUGUGAAAGUUUGCGGCUCAACCGUAAAAUUGCAGUUGAAACUGGCAGUCUUGAGUACAGUAGAGGUGGGUGGAAUGCGGGGUGGAGCGGUGAAAUGCACAGAUAUCACGCAGAACCCCGAUUGCGAAGGCAGCAUACCGGUGCACAACUGACGCUCAGGCACGAAAGCGUGGGUAUCGAACAGGAUUAGAUACCCUUGUAGUC